This 365-nucleotide unclassified non-coding RNA is filed under the name soil metagenome. RNAcentral describes it as "partial contains 5.8S ribosomal RNA, internal transcribed spacer 2, and large subunit ribosomal RNA". The stretch from base 1 to 120 matches the Rfam family "5.8S ribosomal RNA", at positions 35 to 154 of the family's 154-position model. The record is from RNAcentral.
GAUGAAGAACGCAGCGAAAUGCGAUAAGUAAUGUGAAUUGCAGAAUUCCGUGAAUCAUCGAGUCUUUGAACGCACAUUGCGCCCCCUGGUAUUCCGGGGGGCAUGCCUGUCCGAGCGUCAUCUCAACCCUCGAGCCCCCCCGGGGGCUCGGCGUUGGGGACCGGCCCCGCCCCAGGGCGCGCCGCCCCCCAAAUCCAGUGGCGGUCCCGCCGCAGCCUCCCCUGCGCAGUAGCUUGCACACUCGCACCGGAGAGCGGCGCGGCCACGCCGUAAAACCCCCCGACCACGGAGCCCCGGCUCCUGAACGUUGACCUCGGAUCAGGUAGGAAUACCCGCUGAACUUAAGCAUAUCAAUAAGCGGAGGA